AAUUUAUUGAAACAAAAUAUCCACAGUAUAUUAAAUAUCUACAAAAAUAUGUAGAAAGAAAAAAAAAACCGUAGAACGCUAAAAACAAAAAAACGAUUUGCAAAUAACAAUCAUAUAUUUAAUCCUAUUUUAUACUGUUAUCAUUUGUUAUGUGUGUGGGUGCUUAUCGAAGUGGUUUUGUCUUUUAUGUGUUGUGUUUGUUCCUCUUGUCUUGCAUCCCCGUUGGGCAUGUGGGAGCGCAGUGUGUGUACAUUGUUCAUUCAUUCAAUCUAGUUGCCGAAUAUAGAGAUAAAGUUACGCUUCACGUGGUCUGGGCAAAUUGCAUUCACUUUCUCCACUUCAGACCCUAUCGUUCCUAUUGGUCCGUCCAUUCCCUAUCUGUACAUACCAUAUUAUUAAUUAAUCCAUCACCACAAGCACAGCACCAAACAGAUUAGAGAAUUUCAUAUGAAUACCAUUAUCUGCAUAGCAAUAACACUAACUUUUUCAAUUUGUCACACAAAUAGAUGAAAGGGAAUGUGAGUACAGAUUGGAUUUUUUUUUCAAGACCAACCUUCAACCUUCGGGCAGCGUUUUCCGGCAACCCGGCACCGUACUUCCUUCUUUCUCAAUCGUUUAUUUCUGGUUCGUUCCUAUUCAUCAUUACCAAGUUUUUUCCUCUUAUUUAUUCUUCUUUUAUGUUGUUUCAAUUGUUUGUUUUGAUUGUUUUUUUUGAACAUUUUAGUUUAAUUUUGAAUGUUUUUCUGGUGUGCUGUUUCACUGAAUUAUUAUUCUUCUAUUAUGUUGAUUUUUUUUCGAACAUCGUGCCUAUUUUGUGAAGGAGGAGGAGAAGGGAUUUUUUUCAAAAAUUGUGACUUAUUUUUUUCUCUAAUUUGAGAUUGAUUUUCAUGUGGAUUUUGCACUGUAGUCUUGAAAUCGUGACUUACAAAUGAUUUUUUUUAAAGAAUCUUAAUUAUAAUGAAUAAAUUAUUAAUGUUUUUGCAAAGAAAAAAUAUAAUAUAACUGGGUUUCAUUUUUAUAGUUCGCCUAAGGCACCAAAUAUCUUAUGACCUGCCUAUAACAAAGUUGUACCAAUGUAUCCAAUCCCGUCAUAUAUAUUAUAACAUAUAUUAUAAGGUAGAUAUAUAAUUGUGAUAUUUUAGUAACUAAUGUAACAAAGGGCAUAACUUAAUAAAGUGGCAGUGGCAUAAUAGGGAGUUAUGAUUUUAUGCAUGUGUAAAACUUUGUUAUAUUGAUAGUGUAUAUGAAUUAAAUCCUAUGAAAAACAUAUACUAAUUUGUAUGACACCAACACAUUAUUGAUAAUAAUUUGAGAAAAUAAAUUAAUUGAAUGUAAUCAGUGUGUAAGUGUUGGAUAUCGGGAUGGGAUGUCGAUUAAAAGUGUCGGUACUACAGAGAUUAAAUCUAUUUUUUGUUUUUAAAUUAAUAAUAAUUUUAAUUUUAACUAAAUAAAAAAGUUUAGGAAACUAAAUUAUUAAAUUUUAGUGAAUUAAAUUAAAAAUAAAUUUACCACUACAGAUAAUUUAAUUUAAAAAUAACAUAUAUAUUAAUUAAAAGAUAAAAAUAUCGAUACGUUAAUCUUUUUAAGAAUACUAUAGAAAUUCAGUUAUCAUUAGUUUAUUAUUAUUGUAAAGAGCUUCGAUUUGUGCCUCAAAUUGGUUGAUGAGAGGACCAUCUGAUUUGAAGCCACUCAUUCUAUCAUCAUCAAAUGACGUGGCAAACUUUAAGAGGCACGUGCGACGCAGGAGGUUCGUGCUUCUUACACAUGGAAUGGAACAUUUUGCAUAAUAUAUACUCCGUAUAUACACUCAUAUCUUACCAUUGAAUUAAUAUUUACCAUAUGUGACUUGUAUUUACAUUUACUGAAGUUUGGCAUUUCUUACAUCGACUUAGGCUGUUUAGGGAAUCUCUAGAAUCUACUAUCCUGUGGCAGUUCCCACCUCA
Molecule: non-coding RNA, 1943 nt
Organism: Cicer arietinum (chickpea)
Lineage: Eukaryota; Viridiplantae; Streptophyta; Magnoliopsida; Fabales; Fabaceae
Source: RefSeq, a predicted model, not a curated record